GACGAACGCUGGCGGCGUGCUUAACACAUGCAAGUCGAACGGAAAGGCCCUGCUUUUGUGGGGUGCUCGAGUGGCGAACGGGUGAGUAACACGUGAGUAACCUGCCCUUGACUUUGGGAUAACUUCAGGAAACUGGGGCUAAUACCGGAUAGGAGCCCCUGCUGAAUGGUGGGGGUGGGAAAGUUUCGGCGGUUGGGGAUGGACUCGCGGCUUAUCAGCUUGUUGGUGGGGUAGUGGCUUACCAAGGCUUUGACGGGUAGCCGGCCUGAGAGGGUGACCGGCCACAUUGGGACUGAGAUACGGCCCAGACUCCUACGGGAGGCAGCAGUGGGGAAUAUUGCACAAUGGGCGGAAGCCUGAUGCAGCAACGCCGCGUGCGGGAUGACGGCCUUCGGGUUGUAAACCGCUUUCGCCUGUGACGAAGCGUGAGUGACGGUAAUGGGUAAAGAAGCACCGGCUAACUACGUG
Molecule: ribosomal RNA, 468 nt
Filed under: uncultured bacterium
Lineage: Bacteria
Description: partial 16S ribosomal RNA
Rfam family: Bacterial small subunit ribosomal RNA
Source: RNAcentral